UACGUAGGUGGCAAGCGUUACUCGGAAUCACUAGGCGUAAAGCGCAGGUAGGAGGUUUGGUAAGUCUGUUGUGAAAGCUCCCGGCUUAACUGGGAGAGGUCAACGGAAACUACUAGGCUAGAGUGCGGUAGAGGUAGCUGGAAUUCCCGGUGUAGCGGUGAAAUGCGUAGAUAUCGGAAGGAACACCAGUGGCGAAAGCGGCUUCCUAGUCCAGCACCGACGUUCAGGCACGAAAGCGUGGGGAGCAAACAGG
RNAcentral lists this ribosomal RNA (253 nucleotides) under uncultured bacterium. Its description in RNAcentral is "partial 16S ribosomal RNA". It matches the Rfam family "Bacterial small subunit ribosomal RNA", at positions 524 to 776 of the family's 1533-position model. The record is from RNAcentral.